CAAUUUAGUGGCGCACGGGUGAGUAACGCGUGGAUAAUCUACCUGAGGAUCUGGGAUAACAUCUCGAAAGGGGUGCUAAUACCGGAUAAGCCCACGGGAACUUUGGUUCUUGCGGGAAAAGAGGGGGACCUUCGGGCCUCUUGUCAUCAGAUGAGUCCGCGUACCAUUAGCUAGUUGGUGGGGUAAAGGCCCACCAAGGCUACGAUGGUUAGCUGGUCUGAGAGGAUGAUCAGCCACACUGGAACUGAGACACGGUCCAGACUCCUACGGGAGGCAGCAGUGGGGAAUUUUGCGCAAUGGGGGAAACCCUGACGCAGCAACGCCGCGUGAGUGAUGAAGGCCUUCGGGUCGUAAAGCUCUGUCUUGAGGAAAGAAAUGUGAGGGGGCUAAUACCCUUUUCACUUGACGGUACCUCUGAAGGAAGCACCGGCUAACUCCGUGCCAGCAGCCGCGGUAAUACGGAGGGUGGGAGCGUUGUUCGGAAUUAUUGGGCGUAAAGCGCGUGUAGGCGGUUUCUUAAGUCUGAUGUGAAAGCCCCGGGCCUAACCUGAGAAGUGCAUUGGAUACUGGGAGACUUGAAUACGGGAGAGGGCAGUGGAAUUCCUAGUGUAGGAGUGAAAUCCGUAGAUAUUAGGAGGAACACCGGUGGCGAAGGCGGCUGCCUGGACCGAUAUUGACGCUGAGACGCGAAAGCGUGGGGAGCAACAGGAUUAGAUACCCUGGUAGUCCACGCCGUAAACGAUGAGUACUAGGUGUUGCGGGUAUUGACCCCUGCAGUGCCGCAGCUAACGCAUUAAGUACUCCGCCUGGGAAGUACGGUCGCAAGACUAAAACUCAAAGGAAUUGACGGGGGCCCGCACAAGCGGUGGAGCAUGUGGUUUAAUUCGACGCAACGC
This 896-nucleotide ribosomal RNA is filed under the name uncultured bacterium. Its description in RNAcentral is "bacterial SSU rRNA". It matches the Rfam family "Bacterial small subunit ribosomal RNA", at positions 88 to 962 of the family's 1533-position model. The record is from RNAcentral.